RNAcentral lists this ribosomal RNA (492 nucleotides) under uncultured bacterium. RNAcentral describes it as "partial 16S ribosomal RNA". It matches the Rfam family "Bacterial small subunit ribosomal RNA", at positions 29 to 507 of the family's 1533-position model. The record is from RNAcentral.
AGUGAACGCUGGCGGUAGGCCUAACACAUGCAAGUCGAACGGCAGCACAGUAAGAGCUUGCUCUUACGGGUGGCGAGUGGCGGACGGGUGAGGAAUACAUCGGCAUCUACUUUUUCGUGGGGGAUAACGUAGGGAAACUUACGCUAAUACCGCAUACGACCUACGGGUGAAAGCAGGGGAUCUUCGGACCUCGCGCGAUUGAAUGAGCCGAUGCCGGAUUAGCUAGUUGGCGGGGUAAAGGCCCACCAAGGCGACGAUCCGUAGCUGGUCUGAGAGGAUGAUCAGCCACACUGGAACUGAGACACGGUCCAGACUCCUACGGGAGGCAGCAGUGGGGAAUAUUGGACAAUGGGCGCAAGCCUGAUCCAGCCAUGCCGCGUGGGUGAAGAAGGCCUUCGGGUUGUAAAGCCCUUUUGUUGGGAAAGAAAAGCAGCAGGUUAAUACCCCGCUGUUCUGACGGUACCCAAAGAAUAAGCACCGGCUAACUUCGUG